This 782-nucleotide ribosomal RNA is filed under the name fungal sp. RNAcentral describes it as "eukaryotic LSU rRNA". The stretch from base 482 to 782 matches the Rfam family "Eukaryotic large subunit ribosomal RNA", at positions 1 to 305 of the family's 3401-position model. The record is from RNAcentral. Lineage: Eukaryota; Fungi.
CAUUACCGAGUUUACAACUCCCAAACCCCUGUGAACAUACCUUAAUGUUGCCUCGGCGGAUCAGCCCGCGCCCCGUAAAACGGGACGGCCCGCCAGAGGACCCAAACUCUAAUGUUUCUUAUUGUAACUUCUGAGUAAAACAAACAAAUAAAUCAAAACUUUCAACAACGGAUCUCUUGGUUCUGGCAUCGAUGAAGAACGCAGCAAAAUGCGAUAAGUAAUGUGAAUUGCAGAAUUCAGUGAAUCAUCGAAUCUUUGAACGCACAUUGCGCCCGCUGGUAUUCCGGCGGGCAUGCCUGUUCGAGCGUCAUUUCAACCCUCAAGCCCCCGGGUUUGGUGUUGGGGAUCGGCUCUGCCCUUCUGGGCGGUGCCGCCCCCGAAAUACAUUGGCGGUCUCGCUGCAGCCUCCAUUGCGUAGUAGCUAACACCUCGCAACUGGAACGCGGCGCGGCCAUGCCGUAAAACCCCAACUUCUGAAUGUUGACCUCGGAUCAGGUAGGAAUACCCGCUGAACUUAAGCAUAUCAAUAAGCGGAGGAAAAGAAACCAACAGGGAUUGCCCUAGUAACGGCGAGUGAAGCGGCAACAGCUCAAAUUUGAAAUCUGGCUUUCGGGCCCGAGUUGUAAUUUGUAGAGGAUACUUUUGAUGCGGUGCCUUCCGAGUUCCCUGGAACGGGACGCCAUAGAGGGUGAGAGCCCCGUCUGGUUGGAUGCCAAAUCUCUGUAAAGUUCCUUCGACGAGUCGAGUAGUUUGGGAAUGCUGCUCUAAAUGGGAGGUAUAUG